AUGAAACAAAACCUGCUGAUAUUGGUAGACCACCGCGGGAUGCUGUUCUUAAAAGUUUUCUUCAUGGUAUUAAGUAUGAGAGUGCUCUUUCUACGUUGGAUCCAAAAGGGGAGGGGUCCCAUCACAAAGAUUCUGCCGUUGAAGCAUCUGAAAAGCUUGAGAGGUUCUUUAAAUCAUUGGCCGAUGUUAUUGGGACUAUCACAUUCUCACAAAAUGACUGUUGUGAAAAUAUUGGUAGCGAUGAUUCUGGUCAAAGAACAUCUCAGUCAUUUGAUGAACAUGAAAAGCUUGUAG
This 294-nucleotide ribosomal RNA is filed under the name Triticum aestivum (bread wheat). Its description in RNAcentral is "partial small subunit ribosomal RNA". Lineage: Eukaryota; Viridiplantae; Streptophyta; Magnoliopsida; Poales; Poaceae. The record is from RNAcentral.